RNAcentral lists this ribosomal RNA (383 nucleotides) under uncultured eukaryote. Its description in RNAcentral is "partial 18S ribosomal RNA". It matches the Rfam family "Eukaryotic small subunit ribosomal RNA", at positions 592 to 976 of the family's 1831-position model. The record is from RNAcentral.
CAAUAGCGUAUAUUAAAGUUGUUGCAGUUAAAAAGCUCGUAGUUGGAUUUCUGGUAGGAGUGACCGUUCCGAACUUGAUUGUUCGUGUAUUGUGUUUUCUCCAGCCAUCCUUGUGGAGAACUUUUCUUGCAUUAAUUUGUAGGGAUUGGGACCCGCAUCGUUUACUGUGAAAAAAUUAGAGUGUUUAAAGCAGGCAAUCGCUUGAAUACAUUAGCAUGGAAUAAUAAGAUAGGACUUUGGUACUAUUUUGUUGGUAUGCAUACCAAAUUAAUGAUCAACAGGAACAGUUUGAGGAUAUUCGUAUGAACAUGUCAGAGGUGAAAUUCUUGGAUUUUGAUCAGACGAACUACUGCGAAAGCAUUUAUCAAGGAUGUUUUCAUUAA